Molecule: small nuclear RNA, 18 nt
Filed under: Arabidopsis thaliana (thale cress)
Lineage: Eukaryota; Viridiplantae; Streptophyta; Magnoliopsida; Brassicales; Brassicaceae
Description: snRNA_12463
Source: RNAcentral
CGUCGCCUACGAUGGCUU